GUGCUCUCAGUCAGGGUAUUUCCUGAAAAAGGAGGGACACGAAUCCCCAAGAGGCAAAUUCCUGGGAACAUUACACUCAGGCACUGGGUAAUUCAGGCUAAGAGAUAACAAUUGGCAUUAGCGAUGUUGCUAAUGAAGUAAAAGGGGUUAGCCGACAGUCUGCUUCGGAGGCUUGUAUCCGCUGUAAAACAAAUGGGUUCCGUCAUUGUUUUUGCUACUGGGCAGCCAAAUUUAUAUUUUCAGGCUGGUGCCUGAGAGCGUUUCCACGGAGUACUUCCCUCAAAGCCGGCCACGAUGCGCUCAGAGCUUCUACAUGUUUUCUAGCGUAUUGAUUUUCCGCUGGUGUUUCCUGCCUGACCUAUAAAUCAGGGAUCAGAACCGCGGGGGUACUGGCGGACCGAAGACGUGUGAUAUUUGGCGCUCGCGGAACCCGCGGCAAGCGGAGGGGAGAGACAGAGACCGUCGAGGGCGACAAUGAAAGGCCUAUUACAUUUCAGAAAACUCUCUUUUAUACUCCAGAAAGAAAGUAUCGCGCAAAUUUAAACUGUACUCGGCCAUUCUGUACGCCGCGGACCGAAUGGAAAAAAAAGAACUUUUCGCACCGGGAGGUAACUUAAACUUGCCCUGUAGGCAUCUGCCCGACGGUCAGGCUGGGACCCCUGCUGUCUGCCCCCCCCCCUGCCUGCAGGACAGAGGUCGAUUCACCUUAUCAGACCCGGGCUCACUUAACAUGCAGCAUCGCGCCGGGAUGAAGAGUCGAAAGCCAGAAGCUCCUACGCUAAUCGGCGCGGCCUGGAGAACAAGCCGCUCUCCCGGGCUGCACAUGCAGGCGGCUUGUUUAUCGAAGCUUUGCAGCGCGCCGUCGCGUAAGCUGUGAACAGCUACACUGCAGAUAUCCGUACGGUCAACUUGUGACUCUCACACCGCUAAUACCUCCUCCGACAAUGAAACAGACCCACACAUCGCUCCAUCAUUACCUACUGCUGCAGCUUGCACUGUCUGAAUUAAACGCAAUGAAUUGUACAUUAAAACGUUUGAGCGUGAUUAAUUAGCAGUAUAAAUGACUCUACAGCCAUUGGCUGAAGCAAAAAAUAUUGAUAUAAAUUCUGAACAAAUUGGAAUAACGAUUGAACAGUUUGUGUCUUGGGAUGCUGGCUCGGGAAAAAUUAUUUGUAAGGUCUAUUUUCUUUCAUUGCCUCUACAGGAAGCCAAUUCCCUUUUGUAUAAAAAGAUUACCCUUAAUCCUUAGC
Molecule: long non-coding RNA, 1250 nt
Organism: Brienomyrus brachyistius
Lineage: Eukaryota; Metazoa; Chordata; Actinopteri; Osteoglossiformes; Mormyridae
Exons: 3
Source: RefSeq, a predicted model, not a curated record